GGUAUAAGUACCCCAUCUACAUCAACUUCCUGCCGGGGAAGCAGCACGCCAUCGCAACUUCAAUGACACCAUAGACUACUCCUACCAUGUGAUGAUGAUGCUCAUGGGUGCGUCUGCCCUCGCCUUGUUCGCGGACGCUCCCUGGCUCCCGGUCCCUGUGCACACAGCCCCUGGGCCAUCAGCCCAGCUGCCUCCGGUUCCCAGCCCAGAGCCCUGCUGGGUCAGGACACUUGGUGGGGGAGGGAGGGCGGGCUCUGAGCCUCCCGUUUCACAGCUGUCACUCCUGGGGUCCAGCACCGGCAUCCACACCCACCUGUGCCACCCCUGCUCUGGGCAGGACCCCUCCUCACACAGCAGGACUCAUGGGGGGUGCAUAGGGCAGGGGCUGGGGCUCUGUGCACGAUGCUGGCCAGGAGGGUCCGGGUGCAGCCUCUGAGACCCCGACUCCGGGACAGCCCGGGCUGAGGACAUGGCCGGGGCCCCUGGGGGAGCCAGGGCCACACGGGGCUCUGCCGCUCUCCAGGGUGAGCCUGUGUGCGUGGCAGGGGUCAGGACCCCGCGGCCAGGUGGGGAGAGGGGCCCUGGGCUGGGAGCUGUAGCACACGGUGGGACCCCUCCCUCCUCACACUGGGCUCUCCUCCUGGCUGCCAACCGCAGGCCCCUUCCUCAGCCAGGGGAUCCCCAGCCCACUGUCUGCCUUCCAGGGCCAGUGCGGGGCAGGACCCCUUCCUGGGGGGCUUGGGGGACGGCCCUGGGGCUGUCAGCCUGGCAGGAGGCCCCUGCACUCAGGAGACCGAAUUCCAGACAAGACCCAGGCUCCCCCUGCCUGGGCCCCAGCUGCUCCUUCUCAGGAUGCUGGGGGUGGGUUCUUGGGGUUCCCGGGGGACAGCAGGCUGGCGGCUUCUCAGAGUCCAGGGCUCCCCCGCGAGCUGUCAGGGUCAGGCCUGGCAGGGGGCCCUCCCCAGCCCACCUGCUUCCCCAACGUGAGCCAGGGUCGCCCGACUCCACCCGCCCCCACCUGCAGGCCGCACCCUGGAUGGAAACCCGGAGGCUGAGGCGACCUUCGAGGAGUUCGCGGAGAGCAAAGGGCUGAACCGAAGCGACAUCGCCAGGCCCCCUCCCCUCGAAGCCUGCGCGCUGACCCCAGACUCUUAGUGCCGGGGGCGGCACCGCCUGCCCAGGAAGGACCCGGCCCCGCCCCGCGCCUGCGCUCAGAGCUCCAGCCUGGGAGCCGCCCCGCCCUGCCGGGCAUGAUUGAGUCAGCGGAGUGGCCCCUCCCCCGGAGGGUCAGCAUCACCAGGCGGGGACCCCUCCCCAGCAUGGACGCGCGGGGGCGCCCCCAGGCUCUCUGAGAGGCGGGUGCUGUGGUCACCUCCCCUGAGACGUCGCUAUGGAGACGAGUGUGCUCCUGAGUGCCAGUGGCCGCAGCCCCUCCCCUCUGAGAGUGGAGCCCCUGAGCCCAGGGCGGGGUCCCCUGCUGCCCUCCUCCCCCGCCCCCCGGGAUCUCCUGUGGCUUUGCCUGCCCUGAGCCCUGGGUGUCUGCUGAGUGAAAAUAAAGCUGCUUCGCUGUACUAGCCUGGGCGCCUC
Oryctolagus cuniculus (rabbit) is the source of this 1587-nucleotide long non-coding RNA. The record is from Ensembl. Lineage: Eukaryota; Metazoa; Chordata; Mammalia; Lagomorpha; Leporidae.